This 465-nucleotide ribosomal RNA is filed under the name uncultured bacterium. RNAcentral's name for it is "partial 16S ribosomal RNA". It matches the Rfam family "Bacterial small subunit ribosomal RNA", at positions 28 to 507 of the family's 1533-position model. The record is from RNAcentral.
GAUGAACGCUGGCGGCGUGCUUAACACAUGCAAGUCGAACGGAAAGGCCCUGCUUGCAGGGUACUCGAGUGGCGAACGGGUGAGUAACACGUGGGUGAUCUGCCCUGCACUUCGGGAUAAGCCUGGGAAACUGGGUCUAAUACCGGAUAGGAGCCAUUUUGAGUGUGAUGGUUGGAUAGUGUUUUAGGUGUAGGAUGAGCUUGCGGCCUAUCUGCUUGUUGGUGGGGUAAUGGCGUACCAACGCGGCGGCGGGUAGCCGGCCUGAGGGGGUGGACCGCCACCCUGGGGCUGACGUGCGGCCCCGGCUGCUACGGGUGGCAACUGGGGGGAAUCCUGCACCAUGGGCGCCAGCCUGGUGCAGCGACGCCUCGUGGGGGAUGACGGUCUUCGGGUUGUAGAAUACUUUCGCUAGGGACGAAGCAUUUUGUGACGGUACCUAGAUAAGAAGCACCGGCUAACUACGUG